Molecule: long non-coding RNA, 315 nt
Organism: Heterocephalus glaber (naked mole-rat)
Lineage: Eukaryota; Metazoa; Chordata; Mammalia; Rodentia; Bathyergidae
Source: Ensembl
CCAAUAUUAAAUACGUUCUCACUUCAUGUUUUGCUCAGGUGACUCACCCUGGUGCUGCACUUUUCAGGCGCGACAGAGGUCGCUGUGUCUCUUCCGGGUGCCAGAUGAGGAAACCAAGGAACCAUAGAGUGUGUAACCUAAGGCUUCCAGGUCAAGAUAGAAAGGGAAGUGUCUGCCUCCAGUGCCACGCCAUGGCUCCAUACCAUCCCACCUCUCCAGCAUACCCAGGGAUCGAACUUGGGACCUUCCACUUGCAAGGCAGGCGGUGGAACCACUGAGCUAAAUCCCUGGCCCUUAGAGAAGAUUCUAGAAAAG